AGUCGAACGAGACGAUUGAAAGCUUGCUUUUGAGAGUCGAGUGGCAAACGGGUGAGUAACGCGUAGACAACCUGCCGUAAAGAUGGGGACAACAGUUCGAAAGGACUGCUAAUACCGAAUGUUGUAGAGUUUCCGCAUGGGGAUCCUACUAAAGGUGGCCUCUACUUGUAAGCUAUCGCUUUACGAUGGGUCUGCGUCUGAUUAGCUAGUUGGUGGGGUAACGGCCUACCAAGGCGACGAUCAGUAGCCGGUCUGAGAGGAUGAACGGCCACAUUGGAACUGAGACACGGUCCAGACUCCUACGGGAGGCAGCAGUGGGGAAUCUUCCGCAAUGGGCGCAAGCCUGACGGAGCAACGCCGCGUGAGUGAAGAAGGGUUUCGACUCGUAAAGCUCUGUUGUCGGGGACGAAUGUGGAGAUGGUGAAUAACCAUUUCCAAUGACGGUACCUGACGAGGAAGCCACGGCUAACUACGUGCCAGCAGCCGCGGUAAUACGUAGGUGGCGAGCGUUGUCCGGAAUUAUUGGGCGUAAAGGGAGCGCAGGCGGGAAGGUAAGUCUAUCUUAAAAGUGCGGGGCUCAACCCCGUGAGGGGAUGGAAACUAUCUUUCUUGAGUGCAGGAGAGGAAAGCGGAAUUCCUAGUGUAGCGGUGAAAUGCGUAGAUAUUAGGAGGAACACCAGCGGCGAAGGCGGCUUUCUGGACUGUAACUGACGCUGAGGCUCGAAAGCGUGGGGAGCGAACAGGAUUAGAUACCCUGGUAGUCCACGCCGUAAACGAUGAAUGCUAGGUGUAGGAGGUAUCGACCCCUCCUGUGCCGGAGUUAACGCAAUA
This 831-nucleotide ribosomal RNA is filed under the name uncultured bacterium. RNAcentral describes it as "bacterial SSU rRNA". It matches the Rfam family "Bacterial small subunit ribosomal RNA", at positions 60 to 862 of the family's 1533-position model. The record is from RNAcentral.